RNAcentral lists this transfer RNA (62 nucleotides) under Orthopagus splendens. Its description in RNAcentral is "tRNA-Pro". Lineage: Eukaryota; Metazoa; Arthropoda; Insecta; Hemiptera; Dictyopharidae. The record is from RNAcentral.
CAGUAAGUAUUUUAAUUUAAAAUUUUAGUUUUGGAGACUAAAGAUGAUUUUUUCUUUACUGA